This 506-nucleotide ribosomal RNA is filed under the name uncultured bacterium. RNAcentral describes it as "bacterial SSU rRNA". It matches the Rfam family "Bacterial small subunit ribosomal RNA", at positions 29 to 518 of the family's 1533-position model. The record is from RNAcentral.
AUGAACGCUGGCGGCGUGCCUAACACAUGCAAGUCGAACGAAGCGUCCCGCCCGAAGAUGAGGAGUGCUUGCACAAAUCUGAUUCAAUUGGGAUGACUUAGUGGCGGACGGGUGAGUAACGCGUGGGUAACCUGCCUUAUACAGGGGGAUAACAGUUAGAAAUGACUGCUAAUACCGCAUAAGCGCACAGUAUCGCAUGAUACAGUGUGAAAAGCCGAGACGGUAUAAGAUGGACCCGCGUCUGAUUAGCCAGUUGGCAGGGUAACGGCCUACCAAAGCAACGAUCAGUAGCCGGCCUGAGAGGGUGAACGGCCACAUUGGGACUGAGACACGGCCCAAACUCCUACGGGAGGCAGCAGUGGGGGAUAUUGCACAAUGGGGGAAACCCUGAUGCAAGCGACGCCGCGUGAGUGAUGAAGUAUUUCGGUAUGUAAAACUCUAUCAGCAGGGAAGAAAAUGACGGUACCUGACUAAGAAGCUCCGGCUAAAUACGUGCCAGCCGCAGC